AUUGAACGCUGGCGGCAGGCCUAACACAUGCAAGUCGAGCGGAUGAAGGGAGCUUGCUCCUGGAUUCAGCGGCGGACGGGUGAGUAAUGCCUAGGAAUCUGCCUGGUAGUGGGGGAUAACGUCCGGAAACGGGCGCUAAUACCGCAUACGUCCUGAGGGAGAAAGUGGGGGAUCUUCGGACCUCACGCUAUCAGAUGAGCCUAGGUCGGAUUAGCUAGUUGGUGGGGUAAAGGCCUACCAAGGCGACGAUCCGUAACUGGUCUGAGAGGAUGAUCAGUCAAACUGGAACUGAGACACGGUCCAGACUCCUACGGGAGGCAGCAGUGGGGAAUAUUGGACAAUGGGCGAAAGCCUGACCCAGCCAUGCCGCGUGUGUGAAGAAGGUCUUCGGAUUGUAAAGCACUUUAAGUUGGGAGGAAGGGCAGUAAGUUAAUACCUUGCUGUUUUGACGUUACCAACAGAAUAAGCACCGGCUAACUUCGUG
This 484-nucleotide ribosomal RNA is filed under the name uncultured bacterium. Its description in RNAcentral is "partial 16S ribosomal RNA". It matches the Rfam family "Bacterial small subunit ribosomal RNA", at positions 30 to 507 of the family's 1533-position model. The record is from RNAcentral.